Molecule: transfer RNA, 65 nt
Filed under: Potthastia sp. 2XL
Lineage: Eukaryota; Metazoa; Arthropoda; Insecta; Diptera; Chironomidae
Description: tRNA-Pro
Source: RNAcentral
CAGGAAAUAGUUUAUUUUAAAAUAUUAAUUUUGGGGAUUAAUGAUAGGGGUUUCUCUUUUCCUGA